GGAACCGGGAGAGGUAAGAGGUACUACAGGGGUAGGAGUGAAAUCUUGUAAUCCCUGUGGGACCACCUGUGGCGAAGGCGUCUUACCAGAACGGGUUCGACGGUGAGGGACGAAAGCUGGGGGCACGAACCGGAUUAGAUACCCGGGUAGUCCCAGCCGUAAACGAUGCUCGCUAGGUGUCAGGCAUGGCGCGACCGUGUCUGGUGCCGCAGGGAAGCCGUGAAGCGAGCCACCUGGGAAGUACGGCCGCAAGGCUGAAACUUAAAGGAAUUGGCGGGGGAGCACAACAACGGGUGGAGCCCUGCGGUUUAAUUGGACUCAACGCCGGACAACUCACCGGGGGCGACAGCAAUAUGUAGGCCAAGCUGAAGACUUUGCCUGAAUCGCUGAGAAGAGGUGCAUGG
RNAcentral lists this ribosomal RNA (404 nucleotides) under uncultured archaeon. RNAcentral's name for it is "bacterial SSU rRNA". It matches the Rfam family "Archaeal small subunit ribosomal RNA", at positions 595 to 997 of the family's 1478-position model. The record is from RNAcentral.